AGUAUUAUUUGAGAAGACGACCCAGAAACAUUGCCUGCUCCAGUUUUCCUGACAAUUCCACUGCAUCUAGUUCUAAGUGGUGACAGCCAACCACGUAUGCUCCAAAGGAGGCAUUUUUUGGAAGACAAGCCUCAGAUGCAGAACGAGGAGACGCUCCAAGUGAUGGGCAUGGAAACGCUGAUAGAGAAAUAAACCGACUGCUGCCAAACCUCCGAGACCCCCAGGCCGUUUGUGACUGCAGCAGAACCGCGCAUAUCCUGACGCAGACCCCGGGCCCGGUUGCCUUUGCUUGUAUUCACACCAACCCAGAACGUUUCCGGUCCAACCGAGAACGCUUCAGGUCCUCGGUCCUCGGAGUGACCGCCCAAUGCGCAGUCAGUGCUUCUGCCCCCGUCUCUUCCCUGGGUCUCAACUUCUGCCUUGCGUGCUUGCUACUCUAAAAAUCUGAAUACAAAUUGCCGCGCCUUCAUUUUAAAACUGUUGAAUGUUGACAAAAGAAUAGUCAGUUCUGGUUUCCUAGUUUUCCCAGUUAAUGUUUCUUCACCUGUCACAUGAUAACAGACACAGAAGCGGCCUUCGGGAGGCUUGGUGUCAAAGGUCUAUCUGAGUUUCA
Molecule: long non-coding RNA, 613 nt
Organism: Bubalus bubalis (water buffalo)
Lineage: Eukaryota; Metazoa; Chordata; Mammalia; Artiodactyla; Bovidae
Exons: 2
Source: RefSeq, a predicted model, not a curated record